Molecule: long non-coding RNA, 281 nt
Filed under: Sus scrofa (pig)
Lineage: Eukaryota; Metazoa; Chordata; Mammalia; Artiodactyla; Suidae
Description: lncRNA (ENSSSCG00030045523.1)
Source: RNAcentral
UGUAAUUUGGAGCAAAAGAAUAGCAUCUCUCAAGACAGCUGAGUAUUCAUCUUGUUCCUGAACAGUUUUCUUUCAGUUUCAUGUCAGACUGCUGUUUUACUCUGCAGCCUCUAUUAGACUGACCCCCGUAUUGCAUAGAAAUGGCUUAAAAUUCUCAACUGACAGAACCUGUAAAUGGCCAGGUAUGUAUAUUUUUCCUUAUUGUAGCCACAGCAAAAAUGUCUGAAACCUAAAAUUUAUUUUAACAGAAAACUCUGAAACCUAUCUCAAAUUGUUGUUGU